Small nuclear RNA from Pecten maximus, 151 nucleotides. RefSeq annotates it as U12 minor spliceosomal RNA. The record is from RefSeq and is a predicted model, not a curated record. The transcript has a single exon. NCBI's taxonomy places the organism in Eukaryota, Metazoa, Mollusca, Bivalvia, Pectinida, Pectinidae.
AUGCCUUAAACUAAUGAGUAAGGAAAAUAAUGAGCCUGGGUAGCUACAGGCUCCCAAGUUUCAUCUUGGAAUAAUUUCUUCAUGGGGUACAGGACACCCCCAGGUGACCUGCUUACUUUUGCAGGAUGCCAGGGUUGUAGUGGACUGCCCU